CCAAAAGGCUCCCCCGGAUGUCCUCCUUGCGGGUCCUGGACAUACAGUGCAACAAGAUCACGGCCGGCGGAGCCCAGCAUUUCACGGAGAGCAUCAGAAGGUGCCCCCACAUCCAGAGAGUGAGGUUGUGGAACCCGGCCAUUCCCCACGGGGUCCUCGAUCAUCUGCAGCAGCUGGAUUCUCGCAUCAGGCUGCUUUAGACCCAUCGCAUCCAGAAACCCAUCCAAAAUGGACGAAGAACCGACUGUUUUUAUUCUGGCACACGAUAAAGUUUUCGUGUGAAGACAUAAUUCAGCAAGGCUUCUCUCCUGACCUCCCAUAAUCCUGGUACUUGAAGACCACCUUGAGAACCUAAUUCAGAUGGUAUGGAGAAAAAACCACCCCCUCUCCACUCCCUUGAGCUUUCAGAGGGAAUCUGGGACCCUUCUCGCUCCACACCGCCUUACAAAGAUGAACAAAUGCUGCUGUCAUAUUGUGUAAUUUUGUAUGUGUAUAUAUAUAUAUAUAUAUAAAACAUCUGAGCUACAAAAAAAUGAAAAAUAAAGUCCUGGCCUGCUAC
This is a non-coding RNA of Pogona vitticeps (central bearded dragon), 559 nucleotides long. The record is from RefSeq and is a predicted model, not a curated record. NCBI's taxonomy places the organism in Eukaryota, Metazoa, Chordata, Lepidosauria, Squamata, Agamidae.